CCUACGGGAGGCAGCAGUGAGGAAUAUUGGUCAAUGGACGCAAGUCUGAACCAGCCAUGCCGCGUGCAGGAAGACGGCCCUAUGAGUUGUAAACUGCUUUUGUACGAGGGUAAACGCAGAUACGCGUAUCUGUCUGAAAGUAUCGUACGAUUAAGGAUCGGCUAACUCCGUGCCAGCAGCCGCGGUAAUCAGGAGGGUUCAAGCGUUAUCCGGAUUUAUUGGGUUUAAGGGGUGCGUAGGCGGUCGGAUAAGUUAGAGGUGAAAUCCCGAGGCUCAACUUCGGAAUUGCCUCUGAUACUGUCCGGCUAGAGAGUAGUUGCGGUAGGCGGAAUGUGUGGUGUAGCGGUGAAAUGCUUAGAGAUCAUACAGAACACCGAUUGCGAAGGCAGCUUACGAAGCUACUUCUGACGUUGAGGCACGAAAGCGUGGGGAGCAAACAGGAUUAGAUACCCCAGUAGUC
This 460-nucleotide ribosomal RNA is filed under the name uncultured bacterium. RNAcentral describes it as "partial 16S ribosomal RNA". It matches the Rfam family "Bacterial small subunit ribosomal RNA", at positions 338 to 795 of the family's 1533-position model. The record is from RNAcentral.